AGACUCAUUACCAGGACGGUCAGGACUCCACGAAGCUGCAUCUUAAACCCAGAGAAGCACAGACGUUAAGUAGAAAUGUGGGAACUUUGUACAGAUACUGUCUCAAUCUUGUGGCCGUCUGGUGUUAGUGAAAUACUGCAGACGGACUAAAUCCUACAUAGAUGAAGAGAACAUCAGUGAUGGUUUGUGCUGCUGUGAAUGAAUAUUUGCUAAAUUUGAAAAGUAGAAGGAAAUAUCUGGUCUG
Betta splendens (Siamese fighting fish) is the source of this 244-nucleotide long non-coding RNA. RefSeq lists it as uncharacterized. The transcript has 2 exons. Lineage: Eukaryota; Metazoa; Chordata; Actinopteri; Anabantiformes; Osphronemidae. The record is from RefSeq and is a predicted model, not a curated record.